This is a long non-coding RNA of Spinacia oleracea (spinach), 707 nucleotides long. RefSeq lists it as uncharacterized. The record is from RefSeq and is a predicted model, not a curated record. The transcript is spliced from 3 exons. Lineage: Eukaryota; Viridiplantae; Streptophyta; Magnoliopsida; Caryophyllales; Amaranthaceae.
UUCACUGACGAGUCCCUCCUCCUACAAACUUCCUCUGUCCCUCCUCCUCCUACGAACUUCCUCAGUCCCUCCUCCUCCUACGAACUUCGUAUCUUCAUGAUUUCCUCUCUCCUUCCUACAGUUAUGCUCUCAACCUCUCACCAUAUGUACUAGAUUCGCAGCAACCUGAAGAUUCAUGAUAUCUGGUCGAGGAUUGGAUUCUCUAGCAAGAUGUAGAUGGUAGGCUCAGUAUGUUGUUGAAAUGGCUGCGAAUACUCAGUUGGUUUUCCUGGAAAAAUAUUCAUUCAAUUGAGAAACAAACACUGUGUUCUUCUUCAAUGGGAAGGUGGAAAAUCGGACUCCAUAUCUCUUCAAGGAGAUACAGACUUGGAUCAUGAAGAGGUUUCAUGCCAAUCCAAGCACAAACAUUGAACUGAAAUAUCUGUCAGAGCUGUCUAUUGGGGAAUCAGAACUUUCAUCCCUUUUCUUAGGAAUCAGAACUUCAGUUAAGGUUAUUUAUCUAUCAGGAAACCUUUCUUUCUGAAACUUUCAUUAAUUUAAUCUUUGAACUUGCAGAGUGAUCAUCUAAACCUGGUCAUCGUACACUUGAAGGAUUUGAGCUCAUUGUGUUCUGUACUUUAAGGAAACUGUUAGAGAACUUCAUCCAAGUUUGUCGUAGUCUGAAGAAUCACAUAGCAUAAUUACUGAUACACUGAAGCAGCUGGAGU